Molecule: ribosomal RNA, 755 nt
Filed under: uncultured Actinomyces sp.
Lineage: Bacteria; Bacillati; Actinomycetota; Actinomycetes; Actinomycetales; Actinomycetaceae
Description: bacterial SSU rRNA
Rfam family: Bacterial small subunit ribosomal RNA
Source: RNAcentral
GACGAACGCUGGCGGCGUGCUUAACACAUGCAAGUCGAACGAAAAUACCAAGCUUGCUUGGUUGAUUAGUGGCGAACGGGUGAGUAACACGUGAGUAACCUGCCCCUUACUUUCCUGGAUAACUGCUCGAAAGGGUAGCUAAUACGGGAUAUUCUGACUAGCCUGCAUGGGUUGGUUUGGAAAGGUUUUUUCUGGUAAGGGAUGGGCUCGCGGCCUAUCAGCUUGUUGGUGGGGUGAUGGCCUACCAAGGCUUUGACGGGUAGCCGGCCUGAGAGGGUGGACGGUCACACUGGGACUGAGAUACGGCCCAGACUCCUACGGGAGGCAGCAGUGGGGAAUAUUGCACAAUGGGCGCAAGCCUGAUGCAGCGACGCCGCGUGAGGGAUGAAGGCCUUCGGGUUGUAAACCUCUUUCGUCAGGGAACAAGGCACUGCUUUUUUGGUGGUGUUGAGGGUACCUGGAUAAGAAGCGCCGGCUAACUACGUGCCAGCAGCCGCGGUAAUACGUAGGGCGCAAGCGUUGUCCGGAAUUAUUGGGCGUAAAGAGCUCGUAGGCGGCUGGUCGCGUCUGUCGUGAAAACUUCUGGCUCAACCGGGGGCUUGCGGUGGGUACGGGCCGGCUAGAGUGCGGUAGGGGUAACUGGAACUCCUGGUGUAGCGGUGGAAUGCGCAGAUAUCAGGAAGAACACCGAUGGCGAAGGCAGGUUACUGGGCCGUUACUGACGCUGAGGAGCGAAAGCGUGGGGAGCGAACAGG